This 78-nucleotide ribozyme is filed under the name Chrysemys picta bellii (western painted turtle). RNAcentral's name for it is "Mammalian CPEB3 ribozyme (ENSCPBG00000021884.1)". It matches the Rfam family "Mammalian CPEB3 ribozyme". Rfam says of the family: The mammalian CPEB3 ribozyme is a self cleaving RNA located in the second intron of the CPEB3 gene which belongs to a family of genes regulating messenger RNA polyadenylation. This ribozyme is highly conserved and found only in mammals. The record is from RNAcentral. Lineage: Eukaryota; Metazoa; Chordata; Testudines; Emydidae.
AUAGACCUAGCAGAGAACUAUAACAGGAUCAUUCACAUUGCAGCCCCUGUCAGAUUCUCAGAAUCUUUGAAUCCUGCU